CUGCCUAAUGAUAUAGGGACUUUACUAACUAAUACUCCACUAGUUUAUAACAUAACAUAGCCGGCUAACGUCUAUUGCUAACUCUGGUGUGUACUCCACUAGUUUUUAACAUCAAAUAGACAGUUAACAUCUAUUGCUAACUCUGGUGUGUGGUCACUACCUGUAGUAUUUAACAAAAAAAACUACCACAAUUCAUGGAACCGUGCCUACAAACUACCACUUUAGGAUUUUGUCCCGAAAACUACCACUUUAGGAUUUUGUCCCGAAAACUACCACUUUUUUGUUAAUCUAUGACUGAAAACUACCAAGUCUUUAAAGCGCCCGAUUUGGCUCAUUUAAACUUGACUAUGAAAGGGUUGGCCCACAUGUCAGGACGGAAAAAUUCAGCAGCGUUAAGAUUGACCAUCAACUGGAGAAAGAGAUUGAGAUGGCGGCGCUUCGGCGCGAGAAGGGCAGCGGGGAGGUCCGGGUGAGGCGGAUCCGGGGCGGCGCUUGCCGGAUCUAGCGAUGGCGAGGCUGCAUGACGACGGGAGGCCUGCAGGCGGCAAGGCGCAGGGCGGCGUCCACUCGAGGCGUGGCCAUGGAGACGGCCGGCGGGGAUGCGCCAGGGAGCGCGAGGCGGCGGGAUCCGGUCAUGGUGGGGUGGGCGACCAUUGGGGGUGCUCCGAUGGCUGCUGCGGUGGCGAGCCCAACCGGGGGUGUGGCUGCGGGCGAGGGGAGGCGAGCGGGGGCGCAGGCGCAGCAGGAGCUUGGGUCCCUGGGCAGCUGGGGGCGGCAGCGGACGCGGUCGGGCCAUGCGGGCCCUACAUGUCAUAACAUAUGUGUGGGCCAACCCGGUCAUAAUCGAGUUUAAACGAGAAGAAUCAGACAUUUUACAAACUUGGUAGUUUUUAGUCACAGGUUAGCAAAAAAGUGGUAGUUUUUGAGACAAAAUCGUAAAAUGGUAGUUUGUAGGCACGGUUCCAUGAAUUGUGAUAGUUUUUUGUUAAAUACUCCACUACCUGCAUGUUUCAACAAAUAAUUUGCUUUUAUGAGAUUAUUAUUUUCUGAAAGCUUUAUUAUUUUGUUCGCUUAUGUGAAAUCAGGAGGUUGUGAGGCC
Molecule: long non-coding RNA, 1099 nt
Filed under: Hordeum vulgare
Lineage: Eukaryota; Viridiplantae; Streptophyta; Magnoliopsida; Poales; Poaceae
Description: long non-coding RNA (HVUL_LNC018335)
Source: RNAcentral